AUGUACAUAACUCAACAAACAUGAAGUAAACACAGUGGACAUUUUUGUUACCCUCUUCCUCUCCAUCUAUAUAACAACUCCUUUUCCCCUCUCGAUGUUAUCCAGCAACCAUAUCAACACCCCUGAAUCACCCACCGUCACUUGAUCCCUCCCUUCUCUCCCUCGUCUCCUGCUCGGCAGCCACACCGGCCGGCUGUCGGAGCUGGUGUUCCGGUGACACACACUCACCCGCGACACCUACCCCCACCCCCUCAAAUGAACAACCGACAACCAUCAUUUUCGGUGACAAACGCCACACACGGCGGCGACGCGGUAACAGAAUCAGAGAGACAAAGAUCGAGGAUGUUUGGGAUGGAAUCGGGGAGCCGACUUCACCAGCGAUGUCACCGGCGACCAACGUCGUGAGCGGCGGCAGUCCAUGUCUCUGGUCCGACAAGUCUUUCCGACGAUGAUGAUGGUUAGACGAGUGGUGAUGAUGACGGGUAUGGGUUGUGGUUGAUGGCGGUGCCGCCAGAGCCACACAACAGAGGUGGUAAGAUCCUGAUUUGGGUGUUCGGGUCAACCCCGGACAACCCGGUCAGAUGUGGGUUCGGGUCAACGGGCCAAGCUGGUCAAAACGGGUCAGUCGGUUCGGUUCGAGUUCAGUCAAAGAAAGUCAACAGCAGAACAAGUGGUCAACGGCUCCGGUUCGGCUUCGUUUCAUGGUCAGACGGCUCGGUUCAGUUUGACUCGGUCAACCGAGUCAACUCAGCCGGUCAACUCGGUCAACCCGUUUACAUUUCGACACGAAGAGUGGUAAAAAUUUUAUGGCGAAAUUCAUUUCAUUAUUCGUAUACUUUCAUGUUUCUACACGUGAAAAACGAGCUCGAACCAAUCGGCGAGAAUACAGUUAAAUUAUGAUAUAUUUGGCGAAAAUUAUAUCUUUGGAUUGAUUAAUUUUGAAUUAAU
RNAcentral lists this long non-coding RNA (948 nucleotides) under Helianthus annuus (common sunflower). Lineage: Eukaryota; Viridiplantae; Streptophyta; Magnoliopsida; Asterales; Asteraceae. The record is from RNAcentral.